RNAcentral lists this ribosomal RNA (844 nucleotides) under uncultured bacterium. Its description in RNAcentral is "bacterial SSU rRNA". It matches the Rfam family "Bacterial small subunit ribosomal RNA", at positions 603 to 1447 of the family's 1533-position model. The record is from RNAcentral.
UAUGGNUCAACCAUAGUGUGCUCUGGAAACUNUCUGACUUGAGUGCAGAAGGGGAGAGUGGAAUUCCAUGNGUAGCGGUGAAAUGCGUAGAUAUAUGGAGGAACACCAGUGGCGAAAGCGGCUCUCUGGUCUGUCACUGACGCUGAGGCUCGAAAGCGUGGGUAGCGAACAGGAUUAGAUACCCUGGUAGUCCACGCCGUAAACGAUGAGUGCUAGGUGUUAGGCCCUUUCCGGGGCUUAGUGCCGGAGCUAACGCAAUAAGCACUCCGCCUGGGGAGUACGACCGCAAGGUUGAAACUCAAAGGAAUUGACGGGGGCCCGCACAAGCGGUGGAGCAUGUGGUUUAAUUCGAAGCAACGCGAAGAACCUUACCAGGUCUUGACAUCCCGAUGCUAUUCUUAGAGAUAGGAAGUUACUUCGGUACAUCGGAGACAGGUGGUGCAUGGUUGUCGUCAGCUCGUGUCGUGAGAUGUUGGGUUAAGUCCCGCAACGAGCGCAACCCUUAUUGUUAGUUGCCAUCAUUAAGUUGGGCACUCUAGCGAGACUGCCGGUAAUAAACCGGAGGAAGGUGGGGAUGACGUCAAAUCAUCAUGCCCCUUAUGACCUGGGCUACACACGUGCUACAAUGGUCGGUACAACGAGUUGCGAGCCGGUGACGGCAAGCUAAUCUCUGAAAGCCGAUCUCAGUUCGGAUUGGAGGCUGCAACUCGCCUCCAUGAAGUCGGAAUCGCUAGUAAUCGCGGAUCAGCACGCCGCGGUGAAUACGUUCCCGGGCCUUGUACACACCGCCCGUCACACCACGAGAGUUUGUAACACCCGAAGUCGGUGAGGUANCCUUUUAGGG